UAACGGCUCACCACGGCGACGAUCGAUAGCUGGUCUGAGAGGAUGGCCAGCAACAUUGCUACUGAGACACGGCCCAAACUCCUACGGGAGGCAGCAGUGGGGAAUAUUGAACAAUGGCCGCAAGCAUGAUCCAGCGAUGCGGCGUGAGUGAUGAAGGCCUUAGGGUUGUAAAGCUCUUUCGACGGCGACGAUAAUGACGGUCCCCGUAGAAGAAGCCCCGGCUAACUUCGUGCCAGCAGCGGCGGUAAUACGAAGGGGGCUAGCGUUGUUCGGAAUACUGGGGCGUAAAGCGCACGUCGGCGGUCAUUUUAAAGUUGGAGGUGAACAGCCUUGGGCCUCAAACCCAAAAUAUUUGGAUACUGGUUGUCCUCGAGACCGGAAGAGGUUGAGUGGUUACUUCCUGAGUGUAGAGAUGAUAAGU
Molecule: ribosomal RNA, 421 nt
Filed under: uncultured soil bacterium
Lineage: Bacteria
Description: bacterial SSU rRNA
Rfam family: Bacterial small subunit ribosomal RNA
Source: RNAcentral